Molecule: long non-coding RNA, 427 nt
Organism: Pezoporus occidentalis (night parrot)
Lineage: Eukaryota; Metazoa; Chordata; Aves; Psittaciformes; Psittacidae
Exons: 2
Source: RefSeq, a predicted model, not a curated record
AUGGAAACUAAGCCUGUUCCGGCACCAAUUUCCAAAACUUUUUUGUCUUUGAGGUUGAAUUGUUCUUGAUUUGAUUCCAGAUACUGAGAUAAAGCCAGUGCCUAAAACAGUUAACACAUAUCCAUACGAGGGUAACAGAGUUGUGUUACUGUUUUAACUCUUGUGCUUUUCAUAAUGCAACACUGGCUACCUGUUCUGGGAAAGCUGACAGCUAAUGAAUCACCAGGCCACUUCGUGCAACCUCUCAAUUUUCUUGGAGAGUUUUACCAUCUGCAUUCUGACACCUGAUUAAUGUGAGAACUGAUGAUCUGACACUUCAAAAUAUGAUACUGUUUCACUCACCCAUAUGCUUUCUUUUCUCUAUUGUUUUGAAAUUGCCAUUUUCUGUGAGCUUUUUCAAUAAAUGUGGAUCUGAAAAAUUUUGAAA